UGGCUCAGGAUGAACGCUGGCGGCGUGCCUAAUACAUGCAAGUCGAGCGAACAGACGAGGAGCUUGCUCCUCUGACGUUAGCGGCGGACGGGUGAGUAACACGUGGAUAACCUACCUAUAAGACUGGGAUAACUUCGGGAAACCGGAGCUAAUACCGGAUAAUAUAUUGAACCGCAUGGUUCAAUAGUGAAAGACGGUUUUGCUGUCACUUAUAGAUGGAUCCGCGCCGCAUUAGCUAGUUGGUAAGGUAACGGCUUACCAAGGCAACGAUGCGUAGCCGACCUGAGAGGGUGAUCGGCCACACUGGAACUGAGACACGGUCCAGACUCCUACGGGAGGCAGCAGUAGGGAAUCUUCCGCAAUGGGCGAAAGCUUGACGGAGCAACGCCGCGUGAGUGAUGAAGGUCUUCGGAUCGUAAAACUCUGUUAUUAGGGAAGAACAAAUGUGUAAGUAACUAUGCACGUCUUGACGGUACCUAAUCAGAAAGCCACGGCUAACUACGUG
RNAcentral lists this ribosomal RNA (505 nucleotides) under uncultured Staphylococcus sp. Its description in RNAcentral is "bacterial SSU rRNA". It matches the Rfam family "Bacterial small subunit ribosomal RNA", at positions 20 to 507 of the family's 1533-position model. Lineage: Bacteria; Bacillati; Bacillota; Bacilli; Caryophanales; Staphylococcaceae. The record is from RNAcentral.